Molecule: ribosomal RNA, 507 nt
Filed under: uncultured bacterium
Lineage: Bacteria
Description: bacterial SSU rRNA
Rfam family: Bacterial small subunit ribosomal RNA
Source: RNAcentral
GAUUAUGGCUCAGAUUGAACGCUGGCGGCAUGCCUUACACAUGCAAGUCGAACGGUAACAGGUCUUCGGAUGCUGACGAGUGGCGAACGGGUGAGUAAUACAUCGGAACGUGCCUAGUAGUGGGGGAUAACUACUCGAAAGAGUGGCUAAUACCGCAUGAGAUCUACGGAUGAAAGCAGGGGAUCGCAAGACCUUGUGCUACUAGAGCGGCUGAUGGCAGAUUAGGUAGUUGGUGGGAUAAAAGCUUACCAAGCCGACGAUCUGUAGCUGGUCUGAGAGGACGAUCAGCCACACUGGGACUGAGACACGGCCCAGACUCCUACGGGAGGCAGCAGUGGGGAAUUUUGGACAAUGGGCGAAAGCCUGAUCCAGCAAUGCCGCCGUGCAGGAUGAAGGCCUUCGGGUUGUAAACUGCUUUUGUACGGAACGAAAAGCUUCGGGUUAAUACCCUGGAGCCAUGACGGUACCGUAAGAAUAAGCACCGGCUAACUACGUGCCAGCAGCGGC